Molecule: ribosomal RNA, 2796 nt
Filed under: Planctomycetota bacterium
Lineage: Bacteria; Pseudomonadati; Planctomycetota
Description: 23S ribosomal RNA
Rfam family: Bacterial large subunit ribosomal RNA
Source: RNAcentral
GGUUAAGCUACUAAGAGUGCAUGGUGGAUGCCUUGGCGUCCAAAGCCGUCGAAGGACGUGGCAUAGCUGCGAUAAGCUCCGGGAAGCCGCUAGCAGGCUGUGAUCCGGAGAUCUCCGAGACCGGGAAACCGACCGAGGAUUAUGCCUCGGUGCCGCGCAAGCGGUGGGAACGCAGGGAAGUGAAACAUCUCAGUACCUGCAGGAAAGUAAAGCAAACGCAGAGGGUGAAAGCCCCUUAGCCAAAAACGAACCGUCUUCGGUAGAAUUCCCAAGUAUCACCAGACACGUGGAACCUGGUGUGAAUCCGGGGGGACCACCCUCCAAGGCUAAGUACUCAUGGACGACCGAUAGUGCAAUAGUAGCGCGAGCGAAAGGCGAAAAGAACCCCGACAAGGGGAGUGAAAUAGAACCUGAAACCAUGCACUUACAAGCUGUCGAAGGCCUAUGGCCCCUCGGGGCAACGGCUGACGGCGUGCCUUUUGCAUAAUGAUCCGGGGAGUUAGUUUACCUGGCGAGGUUAAGGGCCUCAGGUCCGAAGCCGAAGGGAAACCGAGUGUGAAUAGCGCGAAAUCCAGUCAGGUGGACUAGACCCGAAGCCAAGCGAUCUAACCAUGGGCAGGUUGAAGCGGAUGUAACAGUCCGUGGAGGACCGAACAGGUAUGGGUUGAAAACCGUUCUGACGACCUGUGGUUAGGAGUGAAAGGCUAAUCAAGCUUGAAAAUAGCUGGUUCUCCCCGAAAUAGCUUUCGGGCUAGCCUCUGGUAAUAGUCGACGGGGGUAGAGCUACUGAAUGGGAUAGGGGUCCCUCGGGAUACCCUACCUAAUCAAACUCCGAAUACCGUUGACCGUAUCCAGGGAGUCAGUCUACGAGCGAUAAGGUUCGUGGACGAGAGGGAAACAGCCCAGAUCGCCAGCUAAGGUCCCUAAUGUACGCUAAGUGCAGUAAAGGAAGUGGGAUCUCUAAGACAGUCAGGAUGUUGGCUUAGAAGCAGCCAUCAUUUAAAGAGUGCGUAACAGCUCACUGAUCGAGAGGUCCCGCGCCGAAAAUGAACGGGGCUCAAGUGUACAACCGAAGCUGCGGAUUGGUACAGGUCGUUGACCGGUACCACUGGUAGGGGAGCGUUCUGGACGAAUGAAGGGUGACGGUAACGACGCCUGGACGUCCUAGAAGUGAUUAUCCCGGAACAAGUAGCGACAAAGCAAGUGAGAAUCUUGCUCGCCGCAAACCCAAGGUUUCCUGGGCACGGUAAAUCCGCCCAGGGUUAGUCGGAUCCUAAGGCGAGGCCGAAAGGCGUAGUCGAUGGACAACAGGUUAAUAUUCCUGUACCGGCUGGGAGCGUUAUUACCGAAGGGGGGAAGCGGGAGGAAAAGUCUUCGCACGACCAGUAGUGUGCGUCCAAGCCUGAGGAGGGCACGUAGGAAAAUCCGCGUGCAACAAUCCGAUGGUGACGGGGAGCGCCUUGUGCGCGAAGUGACUGGACUGACCGUCGAGAAAAACCUCUAGGGAGCGAACAGCUGUCCGUACCAAAACUGACACAGGUGGGUGAGGUGAAUAUCCUAAGGCGCUCGAGAGAACUGUUGUCAAGGAACUCGGCAAAUUGACCCCGUAACUUCGGGAUAAGGGGAACCCUCCAGGGUGUCAAAGCCCCAGAGGGUCGCAGAGAAUUGGCCCAACCGACUGUUUACUAAAAACACAGGUCUGUGCAAAGUCGUAACGACGAUGUAUACGGACUGACGCGUGCCCAAUGCUGGAAGGUUAAGAGGAGGGGUUAGCGCAAGCGAAGCUCCGAAUUGAAGCCCCAGUGAAUGGCGGCCGUAACUAUGACGGUCCUAAGGUAGCGAAGUUCCUUGUCGGGUAAGUUCCGACCCGCAUGAAUCGCGUAACGAGUUGGGCUCUGUCUCGACAGCAGACUCGGCGAACCUGUAGCCGUGGUGAAGAUGCCACGUUCCCGCGCCUAGACGGAAAGACCCCGUGAACCUUUACUAUAGCCUGAUAUUGAGGCUUGUCCUGACGUGCGUAGCAUAGGUGGGAGACGUCGAAGUUGAGCUCUCGGGCUCGACGGAGUCAUCAGUGAAAUACCACUCUCGUCAUGAUAGGUUCCUAACUCCACACCGUGAAUCCGGGUGGGGGACAGUGUCAGGUGGGUAGUUUGGCUGGGGCGGUCUCCUCCAAAAAGGUAACGGAGGAGCGCGAUGGUGCACUCAGUGUGGUCGGCAAUCACACGUCGAGCGUAAGGGUAUAAGUGCGCCUGACUGCAAGAGAGAUAGCUCGAGCAGGUACGAAAGUAGGUCCUAGUGAUCCGGCGGAUUCCGAGUGGAAGGGCCGUCGCUCAUCAGAUAAAAGGUACUCCGGGGAUAACAGGCUGAUCACCCCCAAGAGUUCAUAUCGACGGGGUGGUUUGGCACCUCGAUGUCGGCUCAUCGCAUCCUGGGGCUGAAGGAGGUCCCAAGGGUUUGGCUGUUCGCCAAUUAAAGCGGUACGCGAGCUGGGUUUAGACCGUCGUGAGACAGGUCGGUCCCUAUCUGGCGUGGGUGUAGGAUGAUUGAGGAGCCUUCUCCCUAGUACGAGAGGAUUGGGAGGGACGGUCCUCUGGUGCUCCAGUUGUCACGCUAGUGGCACAGCUGGGUAGCUAUGACCGGAACGGAUAAGCGCUGAAUGCAUCUAAGCGCGAAGCCUUCUCCUAGACGAGUCAUCCCAAACAGUUCCCUGGUAGACUACCAGGUUGAUAGGCCGGCGGUGUAAGCGUGGUAACACGUUUAGCUUACCGGUACUAAUAGAACGAUCGGCUUAACCAC